This 5237-nucleotide long non-coding RNA is filed under the name Homo sapiens (human). RNAcentral describes it as "HSALNT0217166". The record is from RNAcentral. Lineage: Eukaryota; Metazoa; Chordata; Mammalia; Primates; Hominidae.
AUAUAACUUGAAAAUGAAGUAGGCUGAGAAUAAUCUCAUACAAAACCAGUAACAAAUUUUGAAAUACAUUUACUUGCAAUAAAAUGUUAUCUAUAAUGUAGAUUCUUUAAAUGUUAACCCUUAAAUUACUCAGAAAUUCAAGAACAAAGUAAAAGCCACCAUAAGUCACAUAUAUUCUUUACUAUCAUCUUUGCCACAGAACUUUUGCACUUGAUCUUUCUUUUACUUUUCUGAUAAUUUGUGUUUUUUCCUCCUUAAAUGGCUCUAUGUUAACUCUUAUUAGAAAGUUUCAAACCCCUUUCUCUCAUCAUCGUGCCCCAAAAUUUGUCAAAAAAAGUUUCAGAGAUAUAAUAUUGAGUUAUUUAGGCCAAAGUCAAUAAAUGGCUCUUAGAAUAAGACUUUGAAAAUAAUGUAAUACUCUAUGCUAGGCAUGGUGGCUCAUGCCUGUAAUCCCAGCACUAUAGGAGGCUGUGGCAGAAAGAUUACUUGAGGCCAGGAAUUUGAAACCAGCCAGAGCAACAUAGUGAUAACAUAAUCUCGACAAAAAAUUUUAUUUAAAAUUAACCAGGCAUGGUGAUUUAUGCUUGUAGAUCCAACUAGUUGGGAGACUAAGGCACAAGGAUGGCUUGGACUCAGAGUUCAUGGCUGCAGUGAAUUAUGACCAAGCCACUCCACUUCUGCCUGGAUGACAGACAGAGACCAUAUCUCAAAAAAACACAAAAUAAUCCUAUAAAUAAGGAUUCUAAUGCCAUAAGCCUUUCCCUAGGCUGUAAAUGUUUUAUGCUAAUUUGAAUUGCAUUUUUAAAAGUAAUGACUCUUGGGGUAGAGGCCAUAGAAUACAGCACCCAGAUAUAAAUCCACAUAUUUGCCUUACAAGAAAUAAAUCCACAUUCUUGCCUUACAAGAGCUCCUGAAGGAAGCACUAAACAUGGAAAGGGACAAACAGUAUGAGCCACUGGGAAAACAUACCAAAUUGUAACGACCAUCGACACUAUAAAGAAACUGCAUUAACUAAUGGGAAAAAAUAAACAGCUAACAACAUCAUGACAGGAUAAAUUUCACAUGUAACAAUAUUAACCUUAAAUGUAACUGGGCUAAAUGCCCCAGUAAAAAGACACAGACUGGCAAGUUGGAAAAAGACUCAAGACCCAUUGGUGUGCUGUAUUCAGGAGACUCAUCUCACAUGCAAAGACACACACAGGCUCAAAAUAAAGGGACGGAGGAAUAUUUACCAAGCAAAUGAAAAGCAAAAAAAAAAAAAAAAAAAAAAAAAAAAAAAAAAAAGCAGGGCUUGCAAUCCUAGUCUCCGAUAAAACAGACUUUAAAUGGAAAAGAUCAAAAGAGACAAAGGGCAUUACAAAGCAGUGCCAUCUGCUUUUCCUCAGGACUCUGCUCCAUCAGCCAUCAGGUGGCAGCCAUUCAGGCUGUUGGAACCUGGCCAUCCAUGCUUCUUUGAGUGGGUGAGAUUAAAGGCUGGUCCAACUGCACCAGGAGCAUGCUUGCAGAGGUGGCUGCUUGCUCUUUGAGCCAGCUUGGCCUUGCCUGUCAUGCACAGGCCCCAGCUACUGACACGCUGCUCUGAGUGAGCUUGUCCUGCCUGGGGCCAAAUUCUAAGUCUGGCCAGGGCCACAGAAGGGCAAGUCCCCUGGGUGGUAAUCCUGACUUUUUUCUGCACUUGAACAUAAAGUCCUCCUCAAGACGGCCUGUGGUCUGCCUCUUGGCAACCAAGAAGCCUGCAGUGCCAUAUAAGCUCGGAGGCAUGGACUAGAGCCCCAAAGGCAGUGAACACCCUGCUCCUGAGCCUGCUGCUCAUUUCCUCUGUGUGGCUCCAUUUGUAGCACAGUUGUUGUACUGAGGCUUGUGCAUGCUGGGCAAGGACAAGCUGGCUCAAAGAGGAACCAGCCACUUCUGCAAGGGUGUGCCAGGAGCAGGUAGACCAGCCACCAACCUCACUCGCUGCCUGCCAGACAUGGCACAUCAGUUCUUCUACCCUAGAGGUAGGGCCCCAGUGCCAUCUGCUUUUUCUGAGGCCUCUGCUCCAUCAGCCAUCAGGUGGCAGCCACACAGGCUGUGGGAACCUGCCUAUGCUUGCUUCCUUGAGUAGCAGAGGUUGGUGGCUGCUCUACCUGCUCCCGGUGCACCCCUGCAAAGGUGGCUGGUUGCUCUUUGAGCCAGCUUGGCCUUGCCUGGCAUGCAGAGGCCCCAGCUACUGACAUGCUCCUCUGAGUGAGCUUGUCCUGCCUUGGCCCAAAUUCUAAGUCUGGUCAGGUCCACAGAAGGCAGAGUCCCCUGGGUGGUAAUGCUGGCUGCUUUCUGCAUUUGAACACAAAGUCCUCCUCCAGACGACCUGUGGUCUGCCCCUUGGCAAUGAAGAAGCCCGCAGUGCCAUAUGAGCCCUGAGGCAUGGACUGGAGCCCCAAAGGCAGUGCACACCGUGCUCCUGAUCCUGCUGCUCAUUUCCUCUCUGUGGCUCCAUUUGUAGCACAGUUGUUGCACUGAGGCUUGUGCAUGCCGAGCGAAGCCAAGCUGGCUCAAAGAGGAACCAGCCACCUCUGCAAGGGUGUGCCAGGAGCCGGUGGAGCAGACACUAAACUCACUCGCUGCCGGUUGGGGCACAUCAGUUCUUCUCCCAUAGAGGUCGGGCCCCAGUGCCAUCUGCUUUUCCUCAGGCCUCUGCUCCAUCAGUCUCCAGGUGGCAGCCACUCAGACUGUUGGAACCUGGCCAUCCAUGCUUCCUUGUGUGGGUCAGUUUGAUGGCUGCUACAUCUGCUCCAGGCACACCCUUGCAGAGGUGGCUGGUUGCUCUUUGAGACAGUUUGGCCUUGCCUGGCGUGCACAGGCUCCAGCUACCGAUACGCUGCUCUGAGUGAGCUUGUCCUGCAUUAGGCAAAGUUCUAAGUCCGGUCAGGGCCACAGAAGGCAGAGUCCCCUGGGUGGUAAUCCUGGCUGCUUUCUGCACUUGAACAUAAAGUCCUCCUCAAGAUGGCCUGUGGUCUGCCUCUUUGCAACCAAGAAGCCCACAGAGCCAUACUAGCCCGGAGGCAUUGACUGGAGCCCCAAAUGCAGCACACACCCUGCUCCUGAGCCUGCUGCUCUGUUUUCUCUGUGUGGCCCCAUUUGUAGCACAGUUGUUGUACUGAGGCUUGUGCAUGCUGGGCAAGGCCAAGCUGGCGCAAAGAGAAACCAGCCACCUCUGCAAGGGUGUGCCAGGAGCAGGAGGACCAGCCACCAACCUCGCUCACAGCCGGUCGGUGUACAUCACUUCUUCUACCCAAGAGGUAGAGCCCCAGUGCCAUCUGCUUUACCUCAGGCCUCUGCUCCAUCAGCCAUCAGGACGCAGACAUGCAGGCUGUGGGAACCUGGCCAUCCCUACUUCCUUGAGUGGGUGAGGUUGGUGGCUGCUCCACCUGCUCCAGGUACACCCUUGCAGAGGUGGCUGGUUGCUCUUCGAGCCACCUUGGCCUUGCCUGGCAUGCACAGGCCCCAGCUACUGAUACACUGCUCCGAGUGAGCUUGCCCUGCCUGGGGCCAAAUUCUAAGUCUGGUCAGGGCCACAGAAGGCAGAGCCCCUGGGUGGUAAUACUGGCUGCUUUCUGCAUUUGAACAUAAAGUCCUCCUCAAGAUGGCCUGUGGUCUGCAUCUUGGCAACGAAGAAGCCCACAGUGCCACACGAGCCCUGAGGCAUGGACUGGAGCCCCAAAGGCAGCGCACACCCUGCUCCUGAGCCUGCUGCUCGUUUCCUCUAUGUGGCUCCAUAUGUAGCACAGUUGUCGCACUGAGGCUUGUGCAUGCCAGGCAAGGCCAAGCUGGCUCGAAGAGUAACCAGCCACCUCUGCAAGGGUGUGCCAGGAGCAGAUGGACCAGCCACCAACCUCACUCACUGCCGGUCAGGGUACAUCACUUCUUCUACCCUAGAUGUAGGGUCCCAGUGCCAUCUGCUUUUCCUCAGGCCUCUGCUCCAUCAGCCAUCAGGAGGCAGCCACUCAGGUUGUUGGAAUCUGGCCAUCCCUGCUUCCUUGAGUGGGUGAUGUUGGUGGCUGCUCCACCUGCUCCUGGAGCACCCUUGCAGAGGUGGCUGGUUGCUCUUUGAGACAGCUUGGCCAUGCCUUUCAUGCACAGGCUCCAGCUACUGACACGCUGCUCUGAGUGUGCUUGUCCUGAGUUAGGCCAAAUUCUAAGUCCGGUCAGGGCCACAGAAGGCAGAGUCCCCUGGGUGGUAAUCCUGGCUGCUUUCUGCACUUGAACAUAAAGUCCUCCUCAAGAUGGCCUGUGGUCUGCCUCUUUGCAACCAAGAAGCCCACAGAGCCAUACUAGCCCGGAGGCAUUGACUGGAGCCCCAAAUGCAGCACACACCCUGCUCCUGAGCCUGCUGCUCUGUUUUCUCUGUGUGGUUCCAUUUGUAGCACAGCUGUUGUACUGAGGCUUGUGCAUGCUGGGCAAGGCCAAGCUGGCGCAAAGAGAAACCAGCCACCUCUGCAAGGGUGUGCCAGGAGCAGGUGGACCAGCCACCAACCUCACUCACAGCUGGUCGGUGUACAUCACUUCUUCUACCCAAGAGGUAGAGCCCCAAUGCCAUCUGCUUUUCCUCAGGCCUCUGCUCCAUCAGCCAUCAGGAUGCAGCCAUGCAGGCUGUGGGAACCUGGCCAUCCCUACUUCCUUGAGUGGGUGAGGUUGGUGGCUGCUCCACAUGUCCCAGGUGCACCCUUGCAGAGGUGACUGGUUCCUAUUUGAGUCAGCCUGGCCUUGCCUGGCAUGCAUAGUCUCCAGCUACUGACAUGCUGCUGUGAGUGAGCUUGUCCUGCCUUGGCCCAAAUUCUAAGUCUGGUCAGGGCCACAGAACGCCAAGUCCCCUGGGUGGUAAUCCUGCUGCUUUCUAUACUCGAACAUAAAGUCCUCCUCAAGACAGCCUGUGGUCUGCCUCUUGGCAACCAAGAAGCCCGCAGUGACAUAUGAGCCCUGAGCCAUGGACUGGAGCACCAAAGGCAGUGUACACCCUGCUCCUGAGCCUGCCUCUAAUGUCCUCUGUGUGGUUCCAUUUGUAGAACAGUUGUUGCACUGAGACUUGUGCAUGCUGGGCAAGGCCAAGCUGGCUCAAAGAGCAACCAGCCACCUCUGCAAGGGUGUGCCAGGAGCAGGUGGACCAGCCACCAACAUCACUCGCUGCCAGACAUGGUACCUCAGUUCUUCUAUCCUAAAGGUAGGGCCCCAGUGCCAUCUGCUUUUCCUCAGGCCUCUGC